This 460-nucleotide ribosomal RNA is filed under the name uncultured bacterium. RNAcentral's name for it is "partial 16S ribosomal RNA". It matches the Rfam family "Bacterial small subunit ribosomal RNA", at positions 338 to 795 of the family's 1533-position model. The record is from RNAcentral.
CCUACGGGAGGCAGCAGUGAGGAAUAUUGGUCAAUGGCCGAGAGGCUGAACCAGCCAAGUCGCGUGAGGGAAGACGGCCCUACGGGUUGUAAACCUCUUUUGUCGGGGAGCAAAGCGAGUCACGUGUGACUCAUUGAGAGUAACCGAAGAAAAAGCAUCGGCUAACUACGUGCCAGCAACCGCGGGAAUACGGAGGAGGCGAGCGUUAGACGGAUUUAAUGGGGUUAAAGGGAGCGGAGGUGGAUUGUUAAGUCAGUUGUGAAAGUUUGCGGCUCAACCGUAAAAUUGCAGUUGAAACUGGCAGUCUUGAGUACAGUAGAGGUGGGCGGGAUUCGUGGUGUAGCGGUGACAUGCUUAGAUAUCACGAAGAACUCCGAUUGCGAAGGCAGUUCACUGGACUGCAACUGACACUGAGGCUCGAAAGUGUGGGUAUCAAACAGGAUUAGAUACCCCUGUAGUC